AUUGAACGCUGGCGGCACGCUUAACACAUGCAAGUCGAACGGUAACGGGCCUAAGAUUUAUCUUAGGUGCUGACGAGUGGCGGACGGGUGAGUAAUGCGCAGGAAUCUAGCUUAGAGAGGGGGAUACCUAGGGGAAACCCGAGUUAAACCCGCGUAAAUCCGAGAGGAGAGAUGACGAGAGUCAGCUCUAAGAUGAGCCUGCGUUAGAUUAGCUAGUUGGUGGGGUAAAGGCCUACCGAGGCUGUGAUCUAUAGUUGGUCUGAGAGGACGAGCAACCACACUGGGACUGAGAUACGGCCCAGACUCUUACGGGAGGCAGCAGUGGGGAAUAUUGGACAAUGGGGGGAACCCUGAUCCAGCGAUGCCGCGUGUGUGAAGAAGGCCUUUGGGUUGUAAAGCACUUUUUUUGGUGAGGAAGGCUUGCUUAGGUGAGUUUGACGUUAACCGAAGAAUAAGCACCGGCUAACUCUG
Molecule: ribosomal RNA, 471 nt
Filed under: uncultured Gammaproteobacteria bacterium
Lineage: Bacteria; Pseudomonadati; Pseudomonadota; Gammaproteobacteria
Description: bacterial SSU rRNA
Rfam family: Bacterial small subunit ribosomal RNA
Source: RNAcentral